Molecule: ribosomal RNA, 253 nt
Filed under: uncultured bacterium
Lineage: Bacteria
Description: partial 16S ribosomal RNA
Rfam family: Bacterial small subunit ribosomal RNA
Source: RNAcentral
UACGGAGGGAGCUAGCGUUAUUCGGAAUUACUGGGCGUAAAGCGCACGUAGGCGGCUUUGUAAGUCAGAGGUGAAAGCCUGGAGCUCAACUCCAGAACUGCCUUUGAGACUGCAUCGCUUGAAUCCAGGAGAGGUGAGUGGAAUUCCGAGUGUAGAGGUGAAAUUCGUAGAUAUUCGGAAGAACACCAGUGGCGAAGGCGGCUCGCUGGACUGGUAUUGACGCUGAGGUGCGAAAGCGUGGGGAGCAAACAGG